This is a long non-coding RNA of Peromyscus leucopus (white-footed mouse), 6200 nucleotides long. RefSeq lists it as uncharacterized. NCBI's taxonomy places the organism in Eukaryota, Metazoa, Chordata, Mammalia, Rodentia, Cricetidae. The record is from RefSeq and is a predicted model, not a curated record. The transcript is spliced from 2 exons.
UUUUCUUUCAUACCAAAUAAUAUUUAUACAGUGUGUAUUUUCAAUAGAAAAGCUACAAAUGAUUGUGGGAAUGGAAACCUUCAGUCAUGGUGCUAUUGUUCACUUGAGAAAGAGGAGCUUUUCCUCUGCUUAUUCCUGACUUAGUAGUGCUUGCUGGUUUCCUACUGCUGUUUUGAAAAAUUACUACAAGUUUAAUAUUAAAAGACAAGACAAAUGCAUUAUUUUGCAUUUCUGUAAAUCAGAAGUGCAAAGUCUGUCUUAGGGGUCUAAAAUCAAAGUAUUGGGAAAGCUAUCUUCUUUAGUGAAAAUUCUAGAGGAGAUUACAUGUCCUUGUCUUCCAGAUUCUAGAGCCAACUAAUUUCUUUGGCUCAUAGACCCACCAUCAAAGCCAGGAGCACCAGGCCAAGUAUCUUCUACAUUUCCAUCUCUGCUAUUUUGGAUUUCCCCUUCAUUUGUAAGGAAACUUUUGAUUACACCAAGGCCACCUGUCCUAUCUAGACUAGUCUUAUCUUAAGAUCAGGUGAUUAAUGGCAUCAAUGUUCCUUUUACUAUGUAACCUACCCUGAUUCAUAGGUUUGGAGAUUAAAGACAAAGAAUUCUUUAGGAGCCAUUAUACCACAUCAUACCACGGAGCUCAGGGACUUGAGAAAAGCUGUUAUUGCCACUGGCUCCAUGGCAAGUUAAUUUGAAUCAGUGUAUGUCUCCUGAGUGCUUCCUGCUACAAUGUGUUUGAUGAGUGUGCCCAAUGCAGCUUUCCCUAAGGCACAGAAUGGCUUCCACAUGUUUCUCCUAGCUUCCCCUCAGGCAAGGAUGAUGAGGAGCUAAAUCUGUGGUGAGUGAUAUUAAUGUAUUUACUACUAAUUAUGGGUUUUGGCUUGUUCACAUCAAUGAACAGGUAAAGACAAAUUUAAUCAAACAAAACAAUAUGUCCCACUAUUUUAAGUGCAGUGAAGUAAGUUUAGUCUUUGUACUGUAUGGAAGACUGGUCGAAUUGCUUCUUGUUGUUGUUUUUUACAUGGGGCCAUGUUCUACACGUAGCUAACGGACUCGGAGUGUAUGCUUCUUGCCCCUCUGUCCUCCCUCCCAAGUACUAUCCCAUUCUUCUGCUUUCGUGUCAGCUCUACGUGUAUGAUUUUGUGUGUCUACAAGCCUCGACCCAGGAAUUCUAGAAUGUGAUACUUGACUAACUGGGACUGACUUAAUUGCUUCAUAUGAUUGUUUCUAGUUGCAUUCAUUUUCAAGAGUAUGUAAUAAUUUCUUUCCCCAUGCCUGAAAACCCUUUCAUUGUGUAUGGAGAGCACCUUCUAUGCAGGAAACCAUGGGACUGAGAUCAGCCAUCAGCCAUGCCAGCUGCCCAGCAGGUGCUUCUGCUCUUCAGCAUCCCCAUUGCUUAUGCACUUGGAAGUAAACACUAACACCACCAUGUCAUGUGGAUCUAGAGCCCUUAGUCUGCACCAAGACCUCCUUUACCCUCCUUCUUUCACUCUCUGUAGUUAUCUGUAGCCUUCCUAACACAGCCUAUAUACAAAGAUAAUAACAAUAAUAAUUCAAAUUUUUAAGAUUACAACUCCUACAACUUAGCAUGACCAGAUUUUCAGCUUUCAUAAUGUGUAAAUACACUGUGAUUUAAAUAAACACUAAAUAUGAUCUAAUUAACCACCAGAGAUCAUUGAAAAACUACAGAAAAUUACUAGACUUUCUUCUGUACAUACUUAGUGUAUAAAUGUUAUCACUGCUAAAAAUUGAACAAUAACUGGCACCUCCCAAACAACUACAUGUAUUUUUAAUUAUUUAUUUGCCAUGCCUUUAUAAUUGUGAUUUGGAAUCAAAGUCAGGGUUUUUUUUUUUUUUUUUUUAAUGUGGGAAUGUCUAAUAUAUAUCAGAAAUUUAAGAUUAUUCUCGCUCUCUGAAGACUUUUAUCAUUGUUACCAUUUCCUUUUAUGGAAAUUAAAAUGCUAAGUAUAUGAUUAAAUUGGCCUGGGGCUUAUAGGGAGAUGAUAAAGCCUGUAAGUGUCACACUUCCAUGCUAAGUGGUUAAGACUGACAGUUCCUUGUGCCCUGGCUACGCCAUGCUGUAUUAGCCAUAACAGGAAAGAUCUGUGGUGACAUGUAACCCUUUUUAACACUUGCCUCAGGAUAUUACCCACUGUGAAAAGGCUUUUUAAACUCUUGUUCAUUUCAUACUGAAAUAAUCUACUUUAUUCAUGUCCUCAAGCUCAUGUUUGUAUAGCAGUGGUUGUUUUAAUAACAUUUCAAGGUUCAAAAAUGGAGAGUUGUGGUAGCAGUCACUUUGAUGUAAAGAAAAGAAAAUGGGGAAAAAACAACAGAAAAAAGAAAAUUUCAAGGUUAAAUCUCUAAACAUUUUGAUUACUGCCUCUCUCAGAAUAUUACUUAAUCUCUGGGACCUCUACUAAACUCCCUGGUCACUACUAUGAAGUAGUGAUCAUUUUAAUUAUUGAUACGAGUACACCUGGAUGACAUAUUGUUAACUGUGCACAACUGUGUAUGUUUUAGUCAGGCUUCUCUCCUAACUCAGUUUUCUUGUAUUCUAUAGAUUAUUCUUCAGUGUUUGAAUUUGAAAUAUUAAUGUCUCAUCAUGUGCCAAAAGUGAAGUGUGUCUUUGUGUGUGAUAAUCCUGGGUCACUCUAUUAGUGUGCUUUUUCAUCCUGUGCAACUUGGGAGUCAUUUAUUAGCACCAUCUUCUAAAUCACUUUUUUUUUUUUACAACAUACCCUUAACACUAUCAUCUGAUAUUCUUGCCAAGGACUAAAUCUCCAGAUCCGAGAUGGAGAGUGCCAAGUGUUCUGUCCUCUUGCCUGAGUCACACCAUUCACAACCUGCCAUUAAUCUGCUUCCCACUGGCUCUGGGCUCUUACUUGCUUCUCCAGGGCAAUUUUUAUGACCCUACAUUUUUCUGACCUCAUACCUCUGAUGUAUACAUUACUCUCUCUUUUAUUCCUAAUUCUUUGGAGAUAAAAAUCUCUCCAGUCAUUUAUCUUUCCCUCAUGGAGACUUUAGGUUUCUGGCUACCCCCAUCACAUUUCUAAUACACUGAGUCACCCCUUCUUUCCUAGAAAGCUUGCUGUUGACCUUCUUUACUAACUUUGAUGACUUACUUUCUGUUCAGUAUUUUGUUCUAUGCAUUUUGUGAUGGGCUGUAAUUUAUUAAAACCUCAUUACCAAAUUCUACUUAUGAAAAUAACAUCCUAAAAUAUAUUUUAAUAAGUAGUUAAAAAUGAUGUUUGAAUAAAUUAUGUUUUCUCAGAGAUACCCUGAGAAAGAUAGAUGGAUGGACGGUGCUCCUGAUUCUCUCCUUUUCAUAGUGUGCAAAACAUUCAGGAAGAGAAAAGCCCAGCUGUAAAAUCAAGGUUUCCAGACCAGGCUAUUUCUAUUUAUAGCACUGAAAAUGGGACAUGAUACUAGCUAUUUCAGAAAAGCCAUUCCAAGAUGUUCACCAAGUUAUACAAAUAUAGACUGAUAUUUUCUCAAUAAGGACAGAUGAAUUCAAGGACAAACAUAUGAGAUCUUACUUAAAGCAGAAAAUGCCAACCAUGGAAGAAGGAGAGCUGAUUAUCAUGCCUUUGACAGGAACAGUAGCUAUGAAUCACAGAACCUAUUAACUUGAACUCUCACAACCUCUUUGUCAACCUCCCAGGCUGUGAAGAAAUCCUCUUCUAACAUGGCUUGCACUUAGCAAUGCUCUCAGUCCCUGUUCUGUUACUGCUGCUGCUGAAGACCAAGCAAACACUGGUCCUGUCUUGGUGACUCUAAUUGUCCUAAUGUACAAGUGAAGAAAGAACCACUUUCUUGUAAUUUGUCAUUUUGUGGAUUGAGUUCAAUGUUUUAUUGAAAUCAUUUUGAAAGUAGCACCUAUGCCCCAUUGUAGACCUUCACACUUUAAACAUAAUGUCUUUAUAGUGGGUGAAGUGGCUCAGUGGAUAACAUGCUUGCUGUGUAAGUAUGAGAGCUGGAGUUUAGAAUGCUGGCACUUAUGUAAAAACCCAAGCAGGUGUAGGAGCCACCUGUGUUCUCAGCAGUCAGAGGUGGAAACGGAUUCAUUCCCAGACAAGCCUACUGGCAAGACUGAGAAUGAGCAAGUUCUGGCUUAAGAAGGAGACCCUGGCAUAAUUCAUAAAGUAUAGAAUGAUCUAGAAGACAUCCUAUAUCAACCAUCAGCCUCAGUGUGUAUAUACACAUCAACAUAGGUGUGAGAAUGUGCAUAAACACACACUUGCAUGCACACCACAAACAUAAGUAAAAUGUUUCAUAUUGCACGUCUUAUCUGCUACACAGUCUUGCUAUCCUCUAUUCUCGGCAUACGCUCUUCUUUGUAAACUGCCCUUCCUUAUUCAAAAGUGCUAACAAAUAUAGAUGAACUUCAGCUGUAAAAUAAGUAUUAUCUAGAAAUAAACUGAAAAAUGUAAACUUUCCAAGCUUGCUCUUUAAUAGAGAUUUUACAGAUAAUUUAUAAGUCCCUAUGAUGUUGGAGUUCUUCAUUAUCCUUUCAUGAGACUGCUUGUGUAGUCAGCUGCGUAGGACAGAAAAUCUGUAGCUGCAUAGAAACAGGGCGGGAUCUUCUGAGUUAUUCUCAAAUGUCAUCAAUUGCAAAGGGCUCUAUUUCUUUCAGUUAUGAUUACAAGGAGACUAUUGCUCCACAGUGGAGCCCCCCUAGAGGGUAAUGGUACGUGUUUCUUAUCAGUACAAAGACUGUUGUAGGCUGUCAAACAUAUUAGAACAGUAAACCAUCGAGGAAAAGACAUUUUCUUUGACCUGGUUUACUUAAAUGAUUUAUCUAAACUUCAGACUUUAGUGUCUGAAAUUACUACUGAUAUUGAAUCUGUUUUUUUUUUUUUUUUUUUUCUUUAAAUUUGUUUCAAGUCCCACGGAGCUCAUUUAAGUUCAGGGUACUCAUUGACCUACAGGCUUAGGUACAGUGGUGAUCUCAGUACAGGUGUAAGACUGUAGAGAGUGGAGGAAAACAUGGAACGAGCCACAGUGCAAACAAAGACACUGGGCUAGAAAUUGAGAUUUUUGUACCAAGGUGGUUUUGAUAAGAAUUACUGCUUUUGUUUUGUUUGCUUUUGUUUUUGUUUUGUUUUGUUUAGUAUUUAUUGACCAUGGAAUCAUGAAAUUCGCCCACUACUGUCUGAAAGCUCUGAAGCUCUGUUCUUUUUUAAAAUUUUGUUUUGUUUGUUUCAUAAUUAACAUUCUUAUUUGUAUUUAUAUAUUUUAUAAUAUUUCUCUUUUUAGUUUUCCUUCGAGAGGGAUGCUACAAGGGUGAAGGGCAGAUACAAAGAUAAUAGGAAAUGAGUGAGAUUGGGGUGCAUGAUGUGAAAUUUUCAAAGAAUCAGUUAAAAAAAAGUUAUGUUAAAAAAAUAAAGUCCUGGGUGGGGUUGUUAAAUUUUCAUAUGCUGAGGUUAAAAAAAUGGAGUUUACUGCUAUUUGGGUAAAAAGACACUUGAUGUAGAUGAAUCAUAUUGCCUUUUCUCCUGCCUUGACCCCUCACCUUCACAUUGCCUGGGCAUAGGAGCCAGUAGAUACUAUAAGUCUAAAUAGUUAAAGCUCCAAGUCAGUUAUAUAUGAUCUGAUUACAUAAGAUUUGGCUCCGGUCUUACCAAGCACCGAUUUACACUGAGUAGGAUGGCCAGGGGAAAUGUAGGGAUUUGUGAAACCUUAGGUUUGCUUCUGAGGGUAGCUAGACCCCCACUCUUCACCCAUAGCCUAUUCUUUUUCUUCUCUUAGCUUUACAGCAUUCCGUGCAUAAAGAGACUUCCAUGUACUUUGUGUGCAUGUCUUGCUGCAUAACAAAUCUCCAGAAAUAACUGAACCCCUGCAAAAAAAAAAAAAAAAAAAAAAAUGUUCCUGUUAGUCUUUCUUGGCCUGGGGGCAUGCUUAUGAGCAAUGUGAUUCCCCAUAGGAGGAUGCACUUUAAAAAUCACCUUGGAAAUAAUAUCAGGGCUAUUUGAUCCAGCAUUUUGGAGAGUCAGCACCCAGAAAAUAGUAUAGAGAGAGGAAGAUGGACUUUGGAUAAGGUUCCUCAUAGAACCUUAACUCUUUGAGGGGUUGGGAAAGAGGAAGAACAGUGGUGAAUUUAGGGUAAGAGCCCAUAUCUUAGUCAGGUGCUAUGAGAUUCUUUCUAAUACAUUUUUCCCAGAAUAUGAAAUUGUUCCUAGGAAUUGUAUAAAUAUGUGUGAUGAAGA